Molecule: ribosomal RNA, 497 nt
Filed under: uncultured bacterium
Lineage: Bacteria
Description: partial 16S ribosomal RNA
Rfam family: Bacterial small subunit ribosomal RNA
Source: RNAcentral
GAUGAACGCUGGCGGCGUGCCUAAUACAUGCAAGUCGAGCGAACAGACGAGGAGCUUGCUCCUCUGACGUUAGCGGCGGACGGGUGAGUAACACGUGGAUAACCUACCUAUAAGACUGGGAUAACUUCGGGAAACCGGAGCUAAUACCGGAUAAUAUAUUGAACCGCAUGGUUCAAUAGUGAAAGACGGUUUUGCUGUCACUUAUAGAUGGAUCCGCGCCGCAUUAGCUAGUUGGUAAGGUAACGGCUUACCAAGGCAACGAUGCGUAGCCGACCUGAGAGGGUGAUCGGCCACACUGGAACUGAGACACGGUCCAGACUCCUACGGGAGGCGGCAGUAGGGAAUCUUCCGCAAUGGGCGAAAGCUUGACGGAGCAACGCCGCGUGAGUGAUGAAGGUCUUCGGAUCGUAAAACUCUGUUAUUAGGGAAGAACAGAUGUGUAAGUAACUAUGCACGUCUUGACGGUACCUAAUCAGAAAGCCACGGCUAACUACGUG